This 389-nucleotide ribosomal RNA is filed under the name uncultured Glomeromycotina. RNAcentral's name for it is "SSU rRNA". It matches the Rfam family "Eukaryotic small subunit ribosomal RNA", at positions 569 to 965 of the family's 1831-position model. Lineage: Eukaryota; Fungi; Glomeromycota. The record is from RNAcentral.
GGCAGCCGCGGUAAUUCCAGCUCCAAUAGCGUAUAUUAAAGUUGCUGCAGUUAAAAAGCUCGUAGUUGAAUUUCGGGACCAAUAUGUCGGUCGUGCCUCGGUACGUACUGGCAUCGUUGGUUUCUCCCUUCUGAAGAACCAUGAUGUCAUUCAUUUGGUGUCGUGGGGAAUCAGGACUGUUACUUUGAAAAAUUAGAGUGUUUAAAGCAGGCUCACGCUUGAAUACAUUAGCAUGGAAUAACGAAAUAGGACGUUUGAUUCUAUUUUGUUGGUUUCUAGGAUCGACGUAAUGAUUAAUAGGGAUAGUUGGGGCAUUAGUAUUCAAUUGUCAGAGGUGAAAUUCUUGGAUUUAUUGAAGACUAACUACUGCGAAAGCAUUUGCCAAGGAU